Molecule: ribosomal RNA, 463 nt
Filed under: uncultured bacterium
Lineage: Bacteria
Description: bacterial LSU rRNA
Rfam family: Bacterial large subunit ribosomal RNA
Source: RNAcentral
UCGUCAUCGUAGGGUUAGUCGGGUCCUAAGUCGAGUCCGAAAGGGGUAGACGAUGGCAAAUUGGUUAAUAUUCCAAUACCAACAAAUAAGCGCGAUGUGGGGACGCAUAGAGUUAAUCGAGGUCACGGAUGGAAGUGUGGCUCGAAGGACGUAGGUUGAUACUUAGGCAAAUCCGGGUAUCGUUAGACCGAGAUCUUACAGGCUGUUGCCGUUCUUCGGAACUAAUACAGAAUCGAUGAUACUGUCGUGCCAAGAAAAGCCACUAAGUUUAUUAUUUGUUGCCCGUACCGUAAACCGACACAGGUGGGUGGGAUGAGUAUUCUAAGGCGCGUGGAAGAACCCUGGUUAAGGAACUCUGCAAACUAGCACCGUAUCUUCGGUAUAAGGUGUGCCUACUUUGGUAUAGAGAUUUACUCUCAAAAGCUAAAGAGGUUGCAACAAAGAGUCCCUCCCGACUGUUUAC